RNAcentral lists this unclassified non-coding RNA (88 nucleotides) under Pseudomonas libanensis. Lineage: Bacteria; Pseudomonadati; Pseudomonadota; Gammaproteobacteria; Pseudomonadales; Pseudomonadaceae. The record is from RNAcentral.
GUGGGAGCGGGCUUGCUCGCGAAUACGGUAUAUCAGUCAAUAGAUUUGCUGGCUGACACUCCGCAUUCGCGAGCAAGCCCGCUCCCAC